ACAUGCACCGUUACCCCAA
Molecule: unclassified non-coding RNA, 19 nt
Filed under: synthetic construct
Description: RNA target (19-MER) from synthetic construct (PDB 7PDU, chain B)
Source: RNAcentral